Astyanax mexicanus (Mexican tetra) is the source of this 532-nucleotide long non-coding RNA. RefSeq lists it as uncharacterized. Lineage: Eukaryota; Metazoa; Chordata; Actinopteri; Characiformes; Acestrorhamphidae. The record is from RefSeq and is a predicted model, not a curated record. The transcript has 4 exons.
CCCUUUCUCUCUGCGUGAUCCGCUUUAAUUCCCGCUACCUUCAGUGUUGAGCCCAUAUGUUAAAGAGGCAGCAUGGAAAAACAGAAGCAGCAGAAAGCAAUGUCUCAUUGUAGCUGCUACAAAAUGUGUAAAUGUUCGCUACUGUAGCCUCCGCGUCCUCAGCAGCAGCAGACAGAGAUGCAGGCUUGUGACGAUAAACCGAGGGACAGACUGAGCGGGAAAGUUUAGCACGUAAACAGGCCAUCACAUACGGCCUGGCUGCGCUGAAGAAUUUAUCCCUGCAACAGGUUGAGCAGGUCCAGUGUAUCAUCACAGUGAAGUAGAGGACUUCAACCAAAGGAUAGACAAACAACUAAAGAAAAAAGGAAGACCAUGCAGUUUGUAGAAGUCAUUGAGAUCCAAAUCUCUUGAUUUGUGUCCAUGUGUGAAUUUUAAUAGUUGAAUUUUGUUGGAUUCUGUCAGAAACCGGUAAAGAACUCCUUUAUGUGAUUUACAUUUCGUAAAAAUUAAAAAAGUUAUGCCUCAUUUUAAA